Long non-coding RNA from Rhipicephalus microplus (southern cattle tick), 378 nucleotides. NCBI's taxonomy places the organism in Eukaryota, Metazoa, Arthropoda, Arachnida, Ixodida, Ixodidae. The record is from RefSeq and is a predicted model, not a curated record.
AGGAGACACCAAGAAAUCGUCAGUCACAUCCAGUGAAGAUUAAGACGACGUCGAGAUGCUGGUCUCGGCUGGCCCCCGAAGAAAUGGAGAUCAGUGAUCGGAUCUGGAAUGCUGCCGGCAACUGCUGUUCGGCUCAGUGUGGACAAGUACUGCAAUGAAGACAGCAUCUGCCUUUGUAGACAUUUGCUGGAGGCGUUUAGUACACAUAACUUCUCAUUCUGCUUGACGUGAAACUUUUGUGCGACAGAACCUUUGCGAACAUUUGAAAAUGUAAAAUGAAUAAACUGAACGCAUGAGUUGCUGAAGUAAACCUGCUUCUAUUGAGACUUCAUACUUACGUUAAAUGAAAAAAUUGCCAAUAAAGUUUGUAGUGCUGUA